UCCCUCAAAGCUAAAAGCAGGCACCGGGA
Molecule: non-coding RNA, 29 nt
Filed under: Mus musculus (house mouse)
Lineage: Eukaryota; Metazoa; Chordata; Mammalia; Rodentia; Muridae
Source: RNAcentral